RNAcentral lists this ribosomal RNA (433 nucleotides) under uncultured bacterium. Its description in RNAcentral is "partial 16S ribosomal RNA". It matches the Rfam family "Bacterial small subunit ribosomal RNA", at positions 29 to 507 of the family's 1533-position model. The record is from RNAcentral.
AACGAACGCUGGCGGCACGCCUAACACAUGCAAGUCGAACGAGACCUUCGGGUCUAGUGGCGCACGGGUGUGUAACGCGUGGGAACCUGCCCUUAGGUUCGGAAUAACUCCCCGAAAGGGGUGCUAAUACCGGAUAAUGUCUUCGGACCAAAGAUUUAUCGCCUUUGGAUGGGCCCGCGUUGGAUUAGCUAGUUGGUAGGGUAAAAGCCUACCAAGGCGACGAUCCAUAGCUGGUCUGAGAGGAUGAUCAGCCACACUGGGACUGAGACACGGCCCAGACUCCUACGGGAGGCAGCAGUGGGGAAUAUUGGACAAUGGGCGAAAGCCUGAUCCAGCAAUGCCGCGUGAGUGAUGAAGGCCUUAGGGUUGUAAAGCUCUUUUACCCGGGAUGAUAAUGACAGUACCGGGAGAAUAAGCUCCGGCUAACUCCGUG